UACGUAGGGUGCAGGCGUUACUCGGAAUUACUGGGCGUAAAGCGUGCGCAGGCGGUCUGUUAAGAGAGAUGUGAAAUCCCCGGGCUUAACCUGGGAACUGCGUUUCUAACUGGCAGGCUUGAGUGUGGCAGAGGGGGGUGGAAUUCCACGUGUAGCAGUGAAAUGCGUAGAGAUGUGGAGGAACACCGAUGGCGAAGGCAGCCCCCUGGGCUAACACUGACGCUCAUGCGCGAAAGCGUGGGGAGCAAACAGG
Molecule: ribosomal RNA, 253 nt
Filed under: uncultured bacterium
Lineage: Bacteria
Description: partial 16S ribosomal RNA
Rfam family: Bacterial small subunit ribosomal RNA
Source: RNAcentral